CGUAGGGUGCGAGCGUUAAUCGGAAUUACUGGGCGUAAAGCGUGCGCAGGCGGUUUGUUAAGAUAGGCGUGAAAUCCCCGGGCUCAACCUGGGAACUGCGCUUAUGACUGGCAAGCUAGAGUACGGCAGAGGGGGGUGGAAUUCCACGUGUAGCAGUGAAAUGCGUAGGGAUGUGGAGGAACACCAAUGGCGAAGGCAGCCCCCCUGGGUCGAUACUGACGCUCAUGCACGAAAGCGUGGGUAGCAAACAGGAUUAGAUACCCUGGUAGUCCACGCCCUAAACGAUGUCAACUAGGUGUUGGGAGGGUAAAACCUUUUAGUACCGGAGCUAACGCGUGAAGUUGACCGCCUGGGGAGUACGGCCGCAAGGUUA
RNAcentral lists this ribosomal RNA (373 nucleotides) under uncultured organism. Its description in RNAcentral is "bacterial SSU rRNA". It matches the Rfam family "Bacterial small subunit ribosomal RNA", at positions 526 to 896 of the family's 1533-position model. The record is from RNAcentral.